RNAcentral lists this ribosomal RNA (231 nucleotides) under uncultured bacterium. Its description in RNAcentral is "partial 16S ribosomal RNA". It matches the Rfam family "Bacterial small subunit ribosomal RNA", at positions 103 to 334 of the family's 1533-position model. The record is from RNAcentral.
CGGGUGAGUAACGCGUGGGUAACCUGCCUUAUACAGGGGGAUAACAGUCAGAAAUGGCUGCUAAUACCGCAUAAGCGCACAGAGCUGCAUGGCUCAGUGUGAAAAACUCCGGUGGUAUAAGAUGGACCCGCGUUGGAUUAGCUGGUUGGUGGGGUAACGGCCCACCAAGGCGACGAUCCAUAGCCGGCCUGAGAGGGUGAACGGCCACAUUGGGACUGAGACACGGUCCAG